RNAcentral lists this non-coding RNA (26 nucleotides) under Rattus norvegicus (Norway rat). The record is from RNAcentral. Lineage: Eukaryota; Metazoa; Chordata; Mammalia; Rodentia; Muridae.
UUGUGAUCAGUAAAAGGUAAUUUAGU